This is a long non-coding RNA of Polypterus senegalus (gray bichir), 400 nucleotides long. RefSeq lists it as uncharacterized. The transcript is spliced from 3 exons. Lineage: Eukaryota; Metazoa; Chordata; Cladistia; Polypteriformes; Polypteridae. The record is from RefSeq and is a predicted model, not a curated record.
UCUCGUUUUGUUUAACUUGGUGGGCAAACUCUUUUAUCACGGUGGAGUCGACUCUUUCCACGUCUCGCGAGGCCGUGGCGUCACCAGUGGGGUACGAGGGCGAGCACGAGCGCGGGAAGUGAAGACACGCACCUGUUCGGCACAAGGUCACGUGUGUCAAAUUUUAGACGCGAAUUGCAGCAUAGGUUUUGUGAAAUGAGUGGCUGAUAAAAUAUUACAAAAUCCUGGGACAGUCUCUGCCUGAAAGGUGAUGAUGUCAUACUAAGAAGAGUGCCAAAAGUAAGCGGCCAGCAUUGAGUACCAUUAUAAACAACAAAAUGGCAUUAUCCAUGAAAACAACAUCCAAAAUGGUGGCACCAUGAGAAAACAGCCAUACAAAAUAACAAUACAAUGACAUCAC